AGAGUUUGAUCAUGGCUCAGAACGAACGCUGGCGGCAGGCUUAACACAUGCAAGUCGAACGCAUCCCUUCGGGGGUGAGUGGCAGACGGGUGAGGAACGCGUGGGAAUCUACCCUUUGGUUCGGGACAACCCAGGGAAACCUGGGCUAAUACCGGAUACGCCCAUUCUUUCGGGGAUGGGGAAAGAUUAAUUGCCGAAGGAUGAGCCCGCGUCGGAUUAGCUAGUUGGUGGGGUAACGGCCCACCAAGGCGACGAUCCGUAGCUGGUCUGAGAGGAUGAUCAGCCACACUGGGACUGAGACACGGCCCAGACUCCUACGGGAGGCAGCAGUGGGGAAUAUUGGACAAUGGGCGCAAGCCUGAUCCAGCCAUGCCGCGUGAGUGAAGAAGGCCUUAGGGUUGUAAAGCUCUUUCAGCGGGGACGAUAAUGACGGUACCCGCAGAAGAAGCCCCGGCUAACUUCGUGCCAGCAGCCGCGGUAAUACGAAGGGGGCUAGCGUUGUUCGGAAUUACUGGGCGUAAAGCGCGCGUAGGCGGACAUUUAAGUCAGGGGUGAAAUCCCGGGGCUCAACCUCGGAACUGCCUUUGAUACUGGGUGUCUGGAGUCCGGAAGAGGUUGGUGGAAUUCCGAGUGUAGAGGUGAAAUUCGUAGAUAUUCGGAGGAACACCAGAGGCGAAGGCGGCCAACUGGUCCGGUACUGACGCUGAGGCGCGAAAGCGUGGGGAGCAAACAGGAUUAGAUACCCUAGUAGUCC
RNAcentral lists this ribosomal RNA (754 nucleotides) under uncultured bacterium. RNAcentral describes it as "bacterial SSU rRNA". It matches the Rfam family "Bacterial small subunit ribosomal RNA", at positions 8 to 796 of the family's 1533-position model. The record is from RNAcentral.